AUGAUCCUUAGUUUAUGGUGCUUUGUCUUCUUUUGAUUUUGUUCUUACGUUUUCCUCUUUUGGGCAGUUUAUGCCAUUUUGUCCAAUCCAUGUAUUUUCUUUGGUGGACACGUGGUGUUCUACCCUCGCUUCACCGCUUUCUCACACAUUCAGCUUCCGAUUUGUGUUAUUUGCCCACCACCUCACCUACCACUCCUGUUAUUCCAUAUUUCUUUUUUCUCUCCCAAUUUCCAGUCGUUCGUUUUUUUUAAACAAAGAACAAACUGCACACAAAUCGGUGCUUCCCGUUCUUUCUCCACCACUUCGCACCCACUAUCCUCAUCUCUUUCACCCGUCUGACAUACUCUUCCAUACGCUCCCCCGAUCCCCAACGUCUAUUCCGACGAUGUCGCAGGUUGAAACAAACACAUCCAAAGGCGUUUUCGAUGCCAUCUGCUUUUCACCUACAUCGAAUGCCACAAAUCAAACUCACAGUGGUUAUGAGUUCUCGAUUCCUCUAUGAUAAGCGCCACCGGUGCUGUUUGUGGUUGGUAACCCUCAUCGUCUAGCGAGAGAACAUCGCCGACUGAUUGUCUCUACCAACUCGAUUCAGGUGACUUCGGUUCUUCAUAAGAGCAAAUUUGAAGAUGCAAGAUGUGGUGAUAUUUCAAUAUGCAUUGGGGUGAACUUUUGGGAAAAUUAAACGGGGUUGUUUAGCGGUCUUCACGAGGUUCUCGGUGCCAUUCGAGUAAUGUUUGGAAAGUUGGGUAUGCCACCGGACGUAAGAUGACAGCUGCUGACAUGGCUAUUAAUUCUUACACAUAUGAAAUCUGUGUCGGCUGGAUCAGGGUUUUGCCAUUUCAAAACUGCCAUGGGAGUGACGGGUUGUGUGUAAGUGGGGCAAGAAUGACAACAACAUAGUAACCUAAGUCCUAAGCUAGCGACUAAAGGAGGCCGAGAUUUUGAUGCACCCUGCAACAACUACAGAGGGACAUCAAAGUAUGUUCAUCGACAUUUCCUUCAUCAUUGACAUGUUGUGAGGGUUAGAAUGGAGAAAUUACGAGAUAUAAUUGCAGCAUUUCAACCGAUGAUUCCCACUUUUGUAAAGGAAGUGUUUUUUGUCUUCUCCCGUUUGUUUUUGUUUGUUAUUCUGUAGAAAUUGUUCUGUUUCUGAAACCAUUCAACAUGAAGCCAGAUGACUAAUAUUUAUCUUCAUCUAUGAUAUUGAGGUUUGCUUUGUGGGUAGUAAUCUGACAGGAUAAGACUGAUGCCUCACAUUAUUCAUUUUUCUCAUAUAGGAGAUAAACCCAAUCCACAGAGUAAGAUACACUAUUGUUGCCAAGGUACGUAUAAUGAUUUACAAUUUAUUUAUUUAUUUUAAUUUACCAAUUAUGCUAAUUAAAUUACUUAAUUAAUUAUGUGUCUUCAAUAUUUAUUUUAAUUUACCAUUUAUGCUAAUUAAAUUACUUAAUUAAUUAUGUGUUUGCAUGGGUUUUAAUUUAUUUUACAAUUUGCAGUGAAUCACAUGAGUGGAUAAUAGAUGUAUGGGAUGUAGUACAUGGAAUAAUAAUUGCAACCUUGAACCGACAUAAGUAUGAUGUCUAUGGAUUGAUACUAUUUUUUUUAUUUUUUAUUUUAUCAAGAAAAGGUUCAUACUUAAUUUUUUUUUUUUGUAAAAAUGUUUAAUGCAUGAACAUCAGAAAAAAAAAACAUAUUUCUAUUGACGAAAUGGUAGAUAUGGAUAUUAAAACCAAGUUAGUCUCUUUCUAUUUCCCUACAUACUUUUAUUUUAAAAAAAAAAAUAACGACUUUUACAGUUUUUGUUAAAAAUGCCCUUACAUACUGUUUUUUGGGUUAAAAACUUCAUGAUUUCAUAAUUUUUGACAAAACUGCCCUUGCAUAUAGUUUUUUUUGGUAAAAGUUACCGACUUCUAAGAGUUUUUAACGAAAAUUUCCCGUGCAUAUUGUUUAUCUAUAGUACUUGAAUUUGAAAAUUUUAAACAAAUAUAAUAGAAUUACGUUAGAAUAACCUUAAUAAAAUAUUAGAUGUAAGUUUUAGCCAAAGUAGGACAAGUUUUGGUUGACAAAAGUAUAAUUUUACUUAGUUUUAAAAAGGAGUGAAAUUGUUCGCAUGUCAUAGAAGAACAAAAAUGAUACACGUUGAUAUCUAAAUAUUUUUAUUACUUUGAAAAGAUGUUUGAACCAGAAACAUAAUAACGUGACAUGUUAGAACCUAGGAAAACACAUUUAUCCAAAGUAGAAUGCCUGAAUGAGAAAAUGGUCAGAAUGUGUCGAUAUGAAAAGUAUUUUAAAAGAUUUCAUGAUUCUUUAUCCGUAUCUUAAACACCAUUUUUACAUUAUUGGGUUAGAUAACAGUGAGUAAACAAAAGAAUGCAUGAUAUUUGGAAUAAGUUAUAAAAAUGGGACAAAAGGGCAAAAAUGUCCAAAAUAGGCAUUUUGCUUUUACAAAGCCCAUGUUUGGGGUAAAUGCAAAUUUUUUAUUUUUUUGAAAGUCCAUAAUUUGGCAACAAGGUUUUUUUAAAAUUGCAGGCACAAGAUUAUGUAGUGCCACUUGGAGAUCUUAUAUUGCUAUUUUCUUUAUGUUCCUUGAAAUGGUCCAUUUUCAUGUCUUUGUAAUGAUUUAUCAUAUACCCUUAUUUUACUGUUUUAUAAAACUUUUGAUCCCUCACAAUUACAUUAUUAGUAAUGCACCGACCAAAAAAAUAUUAUUUGAAUCGACACUUUUUUAUAAAAUAAACAGUUUUUCUUAACUGUUCUAGAUUUGCAGGUCAGGAUGUCUGCAACAUUUUUUAUUUCUUUUAACAGGGAUUUCCAAUAAUAGUUGCAGUAAGAGGGACUCAUUUCUGAAAUCGGACUGAAAUUGUUUGUUCUAUUUCCUGAUUUCAUUGAUUUUAUAUGUACAUUUCUGUUUAUUUCAAGGUUGGAAAAUCUGAUUACAUAUUACAGUUUCAUAGCUUUUUACCA
This is a non-coding RNA of Lactuca sativa (garden lettuce), 2964 nucleotides long. The record is from RefSeq and is a predicted model, not a curated record. Lineage: Eukaryota; Viridiplantae; Streptophyta; Magnoliopsida; Asterales; Asteraceae.